CAGCAGCAGGGAAUCUUGCGCAAUGGGCGAAAGCCUGACGCAGCGACGCCGCGUGGGGGAAGACGGUUUGAGGAUUGUAAACCCCUUUUCUCGAGGAAGAAGAUCUGACGGUACUCGAGGAAUAAGCCUCGGCUAACUACGUGCCAGCAGCCGCGGUAAUACGUAGGAGGCGAGCGUUGUCCGGAUUCAUUGGGCGUAAAGGGAGAGCAGGUGGCUGAGUUCGUCCGUGGUGCAAGCUCCAGGCUUAACUUGGAGAGGUCUACGGAUACUGCUCGGCUUGAGGACGGUAGAGGAGCACGGAAUUCCUGGUGUAGUGGUGAAAUGCGUAGAUAUCAGGAGGAACACCGGUGGCGAAAGCGGUGCUCUGGGCCGUUCCUGACACUCAGGCUCGAAAGCGUGGGGAGCGAACCGGAUUAGAUACCCGGGUAGUCCACGCCAUAAACGAUGAGUGCUGGGUAUGGGGGGUAUCGACCCCCUCCGUGCCGAAGCUCACGCGUUAAGCACUCCGCCUGGGAACUACGGCCGCAAGGCUAAAACUCAAAGGAAUUGACGGGGGCCCGCACAAGCAGCGGAGCGUGCGGUUUAAUUCGAAGAUACGCGAAGAACCUUACCAGGGCUUGACAUGUCGUUGACCGACUAUGAAAAUAGUUUUUCCUUCGGGACAGCGUCACAGGUGCUGCAUGGUUGUCGUCAGCUCGUGCCGUGAGGUGUUGGGUUAAGUCCCGCAACGAGCGCAACCCUUGCCGUGUGUUGUAUUUUUCACACGGGACUGCCCGGAGAAACCGGGAGGAAGGCGAGGACGACGUCAAAUCAGCAUGGCCCUUACGUCCUGGGCGACUCGCACGCUACAAUGGGUGGU
Molecule: ribosomal RNA, 859 nt
Filed under: marine metagenome
Description: bacterial SSU rRNA
Rfam family: Bacterial small subunit ribosomal RNA
Source: RNAcentral